Molecule: ribosomal RNA, 452 nt
Filed under: uncultured Sediminibacterium sp.
Lineage: Bacteria; Pseudomonadati; Bacteroidota; Chitinophagia; Chitinophagales; Chitinophagaceae
Description: bacterial SSU rRNA
Rfam family: Bacterial small subunit ribosomal RNA
Source: RNAcentral
CGGGGGGCAGCAGUAAGGAAUAUUGGUCAAUGGACGAAAGUCUGAACCAGCCAUGCCGCGUGAAGGAUUAAGGUCCUCUGGAUUGUAAACUUCUUUUAUUUGGGACGAAAAAAGGGCAUUCUUGCUCACUUGACGGUACCAUUUGAAUAAGCACCGGCUAACUCCGUGCCAGCAGCCGCGGUAAUACGGAGGGUGCAAGCGUUAUCCGGAUUCACUGGGUUUAAAGGGUGCGUAGGCGGGUAGGUAAGUCAGUGGUGAAAUCUCGAAGCUUAACUUCGAAACUGCCAUUGAUACUAUUUAUCUUGAAUAUUGUGGAGGUUUGCGGAAUAUGUCAUGUAGCGGUGAAAUGCUUAGAUAUGACAUAGAACACCUAUUGCGAAGGCAGCAGGCUACACAUAUAUUGACGCUGAGGCACGAAAGCGUGGGGAUCAAACAGGAUUAGAUACCCCAGU